ACCCACUCUGGAAUUAAGGCGUACAGCUGUGACAUUUGUGGAAAAACUUUCAGCCGGAUAGGGAGCCGAAAUACACACCUACGCAUUCACACCAGACAUGAUGUGUACAGCUGUGAUCAGUGUGGUAAACAGUUUACCACAAACACAGAGUUACAACGUCACAUGUUUACCCACACUGAGGAACGACCUUAUAAAUGUGACCUGUGUGAGAAGACUUUUAAAUCUCCACGUUGCCUGAAAGCACACCAACAGAUCCACACCAGAAAGACUCUACACGUGCAGUUACUGUGAGAAGCAGAGCGACACAAAUGGAUCAAGUUCUCAACCCUGUCAUCGCUGUGGGAAAGACUUUUGUUGUGACCUUUGUGGAAAAACUUUAAGUCAUUGAAGGACUCUGAAAAUACAUCAACGUAGACACACUGGAGACAAAAUGAACUACUGUAAAGAAUGCGGGAGAGGCUUCACCACUUCAAAGGACUUCAAACAAUAUGAACUCCUUCACAGUGGCGUUAAAAAGCAUGUCUGCGAUCAGUGUGGGUCAUCCUUCAUCAGUGCACGUCAGCUUGAAAAGCAUAAACGAGUCCACACAUGAGAGAAA
Molecule: long non-coding RNA, 598 nt
Organism: Oreochromis niloticus (Nile tilapia)
Lineage: Eukaryota; Metazoa; Chordata; Actinopteri; Cichliformes; Cichlidae
Exons: 2
Source: RefSeq, a predicted model, not a curated record